GCGAGGCAGGGUGAGGGGCGCCACCGAGGAAGCGCCCACCGGGCUCCCGGGGCUGCCAGGCCCCAAAUUGAGGAAGUUGACUGCCAGAUCACACUCUGUUGGCCCACGCAGAUAGAUUCCAUUCAUCCUUUCUAAUGUCUACACCAUAUUUUGGAUAACAUGCCAUCAUCUCACAUUGUGUUGAAAGAAGAAACCAGAAUGUUGGGGUUGAUGUAUGCCAUAUGGAUGAAUUUAAACAGUUUCGGCCUUGCAAUAAUUGGUAUACUUCUAAUUGCAUGUGAAAUUAUACUCUUUUUAACGAAAGAUGAAACUAUUCAGUGGCCACAUGUACCCAGUAACAGAGGGAGCAAAGCAAAUCUUAUCCUCAAAGAACUGCAGCUGCUUGUUAGAUCUACCUGGUGGUUCCAUAGAGAAACUGCUCAGAGAACCUGCCUUUACCUCGCCUAAAACAGAACUAUCCCGGAGCUCAGCAAAGGAGUCCAUUCAUCCUCUAUAACUGCUAUACAAUAUCUCUGUUAAAAUGCUGAGAAGAUUUAUCCUAAAAGAAGGCACCAAAGCAAUGGGGGCUGUGCAAAUAAUGAUUGGCCUGAUUCACAGUGCACUGGGAACUCUCUGAAUUCAUUGGAUUUUGCUAAGAGAGGAUUCAAGUGGUUCUGGUCCUAUCCCUAUAAUUGCUGUAGUAAUUUACUCAUUUUUGUCAUUAUUUUUUGAUCCAGUAGUGUAAUACAGAAGCCUGUUACGAGAUAUAAGCAAUUGUAAUGAACAGCAUAACUAUUUGUGUGACUACACUUGGUAUAAUUCUAUUAAGCAUGGAGAUUGCAACUUUUGCAUUAAAUGCAACCACAUACAAUUGGUCAAACAUGGUUGGUAUGAUGCUUUUACAAUAUUUACUACUCUGCACCAUCUUAGAGAUGACCAUUGUAAUCAUAAUCAUCCAGUGGGUUGUAAGAGCAUUUCAUCAUGAAAAACACACUGAAGAAAGCACUUUGCCCUCGGAAAUCUCACUGUCGGAAUCCUUGGAAAUCACACCACGCACAACUUCUAUUUCUUCAUAAUUUGCAAAGAACCAGUGUGACUCCAGUCAAGAACAAAAGAUUAAUUGUGAAUUAGCGAAGAACUCUAAUUUUUUCAAGCAGCCACAUGGAAAACGCAUUCUAAUGAAAUCCUUUCCAUUGCUCUUUUUUCUUAGUUCUUCAAUAAAGCAUGCGAUUUGAUCACAAAUUGACUCUUCCCUUUUUAAAAGCCAGUAUGGGUUAACACGGAUAAAUAUAGCCCCUGCAAUCCCUGUGGUUGAAGGGAUGUAGGAGAGUAGUGUUGAAUGCCCACUUUAUCUU
Molecule: long non-coding RNA, 1334 nt
Organism: Homo sapiens (human)
Lineage: Eukaryota; Metazoa; Chordata; Mammalia; Primates; Hominidae
Product: long intergenic non-protein coding RNA 301
Source: Ensembl